This is a long non-coding RNA of Mus musculus (house mouse), 873 nucleotides long. RefSeq annotates it as predicted gene, 39397. The transcript is spliced from 3 exons. Lineage: Eukaryota; Metazoa; Chordata; Mammalia; Rodentia; Muridae. The record is from RefSeq and is a predicted model, not a curated record.
GGCCUAGAGGAGCCGAGGGGCGGGGCCGUCAGCUCUUCCCUUGCCCCGGAUUGCAGGGCUUCUUGGCUCAGGUGAGCGAUCCUGCCGCUCUCGCUACUCUGGCUCUGGGUAGCGCAGAGAGGCUGGACCCUUGGAGCUUCGGGACUUCUGCGUCCCGCAGCUCUGCCCCUCAAUCGCAUCUGUGCAACUUUGGGGUUGUCGUGUUUGCCCCCUUAAUCCGAAAAUGCGCCCUGUUGCGCCAUUAACCCGUAUGUUUCCCUAAGGGCAUUAGUAGUGGAGGGAGCAAGUGGAUCCUGGGUCCAAGUGGGACCUUCAGGUCUGGUUUUUCCGGAGCCAGGAAACAGUUGUUUUGACUUGUCUCAUACCACGUGAUCGCCCUGAGGGCUCUCUUGGACCUGUUAGUUUAAUUUGCCUGCGGUCAGCCCUUUGAGGCAUGAAGCCCAGAGGACCUGCUUUUUGUCUUCUCACUAUUUAAUUGCUUUUGUUCCAUUACAGAAAAUGACAGCUGUCUCUCGGAAUAGACGCGGAAGAAAACUGUCAAAUGUAGCAACCGUGACUAAUAAAGGGCAGGCUGGGCAGGUCUGAGGACCGUGCCCAAAAGGGAACCUAGGACCUAGGUGUGGGCCAUAGAGGUGGUGACUGUAAAAGAAAAGACUCUCUAACGCAAGAUGACAGCUCACCAUCCCACCAAGGCUUCGGAAGCCAGAGCUUGUGGGGCCUGGCAAGAGGCUCUGGGCUACAGGGCUCCACCUGGGUCCUCCCCAUUCCUCUCCCUGGUGACUCCCAGCCUGAAAGAAGCCAGAGGACUUUGUCAUCUGUCUACCCUGUGGUACCUUAGUCCUUUAAAUGAGUGUAUAAAGCUUGCUAAAUCUC